AGCACAGUGCAACAACGGAGGGUAGCCGACAGCACAGCAGGCUCCAUCCAGGGGUGUUUUUUUUUUCCUCUGUGCAAAAGACCCUUUUUCACCACUUCGGUUGUGAAAACCUUGUCAGGCUACAGUUAAAAACUGUUUUCCUUCAUGGAGGUUCGUUGUGAAUAAACUGCAAUCAUUGUUGAGAUUCAGUGCACUGAUUGAAGAUUUUCUAACUAUAGUUGCUCUGUGGCGUCGUGCUGCCGCCACUGUGAGACUUCAGGAGAGGCCUGUAUUUUGUUGCCUUUGGUCAGGUUUUUUUUUGUUGUUGAUAUUGGUUGGAUUGGACAAACGAAGAUUUCAUCCAGGGAUGGCGAGCCACUCCACCAGGACCCAUAGUGAAGAUUUCUGGAUUUGAAAGUACUUUGAGUUUCCCUGGAUGAACUGUGAUCCACAUUGUUUCUGCCUGUGUGGUAGGACAAAACCUGCACUCACCUGCUCCUCUGUGCACACCACUUGGAGAACAAGGAAUUGAAACCUUCGCACGUAUUAGUUAGGUGUUUACAAAGACUAUCAAAAAAUCCCUGGGGUUUAGGUUUAUGUUUCGUUUAUUAUUUGUCUCAUUUUGUUUUAUGGGUCCCUGAUUUCCUUUUGUAAUAUUGCACAUAUUUUAAGAAGUGUGAAUAAUACAUUGUUAUUACCUCAAACAUCCCGUCUCUGUCUCAUUAGUUACUCAUUCUGAUCCAGUAGCCAAACCUUCAUAACUGGUCCAUCACCUGAGCUUUUAAGCUAAACACUUGAUCAAUUGGGUGUUACAUAUGAUUAUGAAUUUCAAUAAACUGCUGUAUGUUGUGAAA
This is a long non-coding RNA of Hemibagrus wyckioides, 833 nucleotides long. RefSeq lists it as uncharacterized. The record is from RefSeq and is a predicted model, not a curated record. Lineage: Eukaryota; Metazoa; Chordata; Actinopteri; Siluriformes; Bagridae. The transcript has 3 exons.